Molecule: ribosomal RNA, 465 nt
Filed under: Vreelandella stevensii
Lineage: Bacteria; Pseudomonadati; Pseudomonadota; Gammaproteobacteria; Oceanospirillales; Halomonadaceae
Description: partial 16S ribosomal RNA
Rfam family: Bacterial small subunit ribosomal RNA
Source: RNAcentral
CCUACGGGUGGCUGCAGUGGGGAAUAUUGGACAAUGGGGGGAACCCUGAUCCAGCCAUGCCGCGUGUGUGAAGAAGGCCCUCGGGUUGUAAAGCACUUUCAGUGAGGAAGAACGCCUGGUGGUUAAUACCCAUCAGGAAAGACAUCACUCACAGAAGAAGCACCGGCUAACUCCGUGCCAGCAGCCGCGGUAAUACGGAGGGUGCGAGCGUUAAUCGGAAUUACUGGGCGUAAAGCGCGCGUAGGUGGCUUGAUAAGCCGGUUGUGAAAGCCCCGGGCUCAACCUGGGAACGGCAUCCGGAACUGUCAAGCUAGAGUGCAGGAGAGGAAGGUAGAAUUCCCGGUGUAGCGGUGAAAUGCGUAGAGAUCGGGAGGAGUACCAGUGGCGAAGGCGGCCUUCUGGACUGACACUGACACUGAGGUGCGAAAGCGUGGGUAGCAAACAGGAUUAGAUACCCCGGUAGUC